Molecule: ribosomal RNA, 462 nt
Filed under: uncultured archaeon
Lineage: Archaea
Description: bacterial SSU rRNA
Rfam family: Archaeal small subunit ribosomal RNA
Source: RNAcentral
AGCGUGACGGGGGGAGUCCGAGUGCCAUCCUAACGGAUGGCUUUUCGUGAGACCAAAUCUCUCACGGAAUAAGUGGUGGGUAAAUCUCGUGCCAGCCGCCGCGGUAAUACGAGUAGCACAAGUGGUACCCACGAAUAUUGAGCUUAAAGCGUUCGUAGCCGGCCAAGUCAGUUUCCUGUGAAAUCUACCCGCUUAACGGGUAGGCGUGCAGGGAAUACUACUUGGCUAGGGAACGGGGGAGGUCAGGAGUACUCUAGGGGGAGCGGUAAAAUGCUGUAAUCCUUGGAGGACUAACGAUGGCGAAGGCACCUGACUAAAACGUGUCCGACGGUGAGGGACGAAGGCUAGGGGAGCGAACGGGAUUAGGUACCCCGGUAGUCCUAGCAGUAAAUUAUGCAGAUUUGGCGUUGCAUUCACCACGAGUGGGUGCAGUGCCGUAGGGAAACCGUUUAAUCUGCCGCU